UGUUUUGUCUUUUCAGAAUUCCCCAACUACAAUUUAUUACUUCAGAUUUUCUUGAGGGUUUUUCUCUGUACUCUCCAAUUACCCUGUGAAUACCAUCACUAAAGGAUGAAUCUGGCACUUCUGCUUUCUGAAAUAGCCCUGGUACCACAUGGAGAUGAAAUUCUCUGGCUUUCAGUUUCCAUUUGGUAAUAGCCCCACGCACAUCAAGUCUGACGGGCCAUUUAUUGCUUUUGGCAGCAGAGUGAGGUCUGUGUGCAAGAAUGGCCAAUGAGGGAAACUCCACAGAAGAAUUUGGAGAAGAGUAGCCUGGCCUCGUUGUGAAAGAGGAGCAUCUCCGUAAUUAUUUUACUAAAGGAGAAAAUACUGGAUUUUGAUUCCCUUGAUGUCAACGAGGACAACUACAAUGAAGAACACUUCCUCUGAGGGAAAUCAUGUCAUGAGCAGCCCUAUGGAGAAUCCAAGCAGCAAGGAGCUGAAGCCUUCUGCCAACCACUGGGUUGGAAGACUGAAUGUGCCCACAACCUAACUUUGACCAUGUGGAUGAAGAGAUCACCUCAGGGAAUAGUGAAGCAAUAAUAAAUGGAAGGAAGGUGGAUCCUGGAGUGACUUUUUCCUGCCAAGCUGGAUUGCUCAACUUCUUGUAACAUGAGAAGGAUAUGAACGUCCAGGUUAUUUAAGCCUCUGCGUGUAGAUGCAUACUUUUUGGUUUCAUUUUUGGGACAGCUUAGUCUUUGCCCUAAUAAGCAAGUGUUGCUUUCUCUUGCUUUUAGCAUAUUUGCUUUCAACUUUCCCUUCAGAAGUUUCCUGCUACUUCUAUGUAUCCUGCCCACAUGGGAAAUGUGAACUAUUAGGUCACCAGAGAAAGACACUGACAUCAUAUCCUCCUAUUUGGUGUGGAAUUCCCCCAGUGAAGAAGGCCAGUUGCUUUCUUAGUACUCUUACAUAGCUUUUCCCGUAAGUCUCCACCUCGUUCCCUUCGAACUACUUAGAUGACAGUUAAGGGAAUCAUUCCCACCGUGGAUUGGCUGCUCUCCCUCAGGACUCCUCACCCUGCCUCUAUCACUUCCCCUUUCUAUCUUCUGAACACUGCCUCUUUUACUUGCCAGAGAACUAGAUCAUACACAUCCUCUUUCAAAUCAUAGACACUUUCAACCAAUAGUUAUUGAACAAUUACUUCAUAAGGUACAACCGAAAAUGAUGACAUAGGGAAAGUACCUGGCUUUUCAGUCUACUUGGCAAGAAGAGAUAAAUAAAUUGGCAAUUAUUAUUAUUUUUUAAAGAUUUUAUUUAUUUAUUUGACAGAGAGAUAGACAGAAGAGCACAAGCAGAGAGAGUGGCAGAGAGGGAGAGAGAGAAGCAGGCUCUGCACUGAGCAGGGAACCCGAUGUGGGACUCGAUCCCAGGACCCUGAGAUCAUGACCUGAGCCGAAGGCAGACGCUUAACCAUCUGAGCCACCCAGGCGCCCUAAAUUGGCAAUUAUAAAUUAAAAUGAAAAGUUUUAUAAUUCAAAUAAGUGUAGUGUGUCAUGGGAACACUUAGAAGAGGCAUCUAACCCAGCGUUUGUAGGAGGGAGUGUGGUCAACAGUUUAGGUAUCGAAAAAGGUGAAGUAAGUGUGUACAUUGGCUGGAUAAAACCGUACACCUGUUGGUUAAGAAUAAUACAUAAUUUUAAAACUUCAAAUAACUUCGAGUAUAUAAAAUAAAAAGUGAAAGUUCUUCCCACACACAUUAAUUUUAAUACCCACUGUGAUUUGUUAAUAUUUGAUGUGUGUUCUUCCAGAUAAAUAGAUAUGAAAAUAGAUACACCAAUAUAUAUCCACGUAGGGUUUUAUUUUUCAAAAAUCUGAUCAUAGUAUACAUAUUGUUACGCAGCUGCUCAUUUUCCCCACAUAAUCUUUUUUAUCAUGUGCAUAUAUUUACCUCAUUUUAAAAAUAGCUGAUAGACUUCCCUACUAAUUAGUCACUAACUUAUUUAAUAACUCUCUUCUCCUUUGACAUUUAGGUUGUUUUCCAUUUUUUUUGCCCCUUCAGUAGUAGUGUUUCAAGGAACAUUCUAUCCAUUGGACCCAGCGAUAAAUAUUAAGAGGAAAGAAUAACAAUCUGAAGAUUCUGUAUCUGCCCCAAAUAUCAUAUGAUUAUGAGAAAAAAAAAAUUUGGUUAUGUAAAGUAUCAGAAAGUUACCUUCUGCUUUUCUUUCCAGGGAAUUUACUUGAGGAAUCACUCUAGCAAAAUCAAAAUCAAAGUAAAACUAUAUUUCAGGGAGAUUUGAAGUGUAUAAAAACAUGAAUGAGUAAUCAACCCAAUACAAUUUAAAAGAUCAGAAUAGACGAUCAGAGCAUGGUUCCUGAAUAGAGAACUUAAAUAUUAUAAAGAAAUUGAUAUUUCCCAAAUUAAGAUUUAGGGCUUCUUAUGAUUCCAAACAAACCCUAAGAGGAGCCUGUUUUUGAAUCAUGACAAAAAUUUCUAGAAAAGUAAGUAAGAAUGGUUAAAGAAUACUUAUAAAAAAGAGGCUGGAGGUUGGCAUUUGCCUUAUCAUAUGCUGAAGAAUUAUAAAGAUAUCAUUGUAUUUAGCAUUGUAAGUCCUGAGAAUAGCCAGAUAAAUUGGUGACUCAGAAGUAAUAUCCUGGAAUGAGAACUUAUAAAAUAUAGAAAGAUAAUAAGGUAACAUAUUUUAAAGAAAUUACAAAUUUAAGGAUAAGGAAUUGUUUCUUUAAUAAUGUGGAGAAGAAGGAAAUUUUGAUGACUAUUUUGUUAGAACUUUGCAUCACAGCAUACAUUAGAUAGAUUAAAGAGUUAAAAAUUCAACCAUAAAAAAUUGGAGAAGGUAUAAAAGAAAGAUUAUAUCUUCCCUUCCUGAUGAAAGGCUCCCUCAAGCAAAAAAAACCAAUACAAAAAGCCAUAGGAAAAAGAUAAUAGAUUUGACCAUAUAAAAGUUACUGUAGUUCAAAGAAAUAUAGAGACAAAAGGAGAAGGCAAAUCACAAACCAGAAAGAUAUAUACAACACACACUGCAAAAAACAGGGUUGCUAUCACUUGGCAAAACUCCAGUACUGGUUAAAUCCAAAUCUCAGCCUAGUCUGUGCCCAAACCUUCACAGAUGAAUGUGUCUGAUUUAAAAAACAAAACUAGGGUGCCUGGGUGGCUCAGCUGGUUAAGCGACUGCCUUCGGCUCUGGUCAUGAUCCUGGAGUCCCUGGAUCGAGUCCCGCAUCGGGCUCCCGGCUCGGCAGGGAGCCUGCUUCUCCCUCUGACCCUAUCCCCUCUCAUGCUGUUUCUCUCCCUCUCUCUCUCUCAAAUAAAUAAAUAAAUAAAAAUCUUAAAAAAAAAUAAAAAUAGAAAACAAAACUAUGUGCAGUGGCCUAACUCUAAAUUUACUGUUAAUUGCCUUCAAGUGAGCAGUUAGUCCUGUUGUAAAACUGUAAUACAUUUCCCUAGUUCACUCACUCUCCUACAUUCCCUGACAACUAUUUCAUACCCCCUUCCACACUUCAAGCUUCCAGCAUCUUCUCCUCAUCUUUACUCUAAAUGGAUGAUCUUGCUUAUUUCACUCAGAAAGUAGUAGCAUUAAGGGGGGCACAUGAUGUGAUGACCACUGGGAGUUAUACACUACUAAUGAAUCAUUGGACACUAUAUCAAAAACUAAUGAUGCACUCUAUGUUGGCUAACUGAAUUUAAAUAAAUGAAAGCAAGCAAGCAAGCAAGCAACGAGAAGAGGAUUUCCACAUACCCACACCACCAUGUCACCCCACCCACUAGCAUCUCCCCUCCUGUUCCAGAAGAAUCUUCUAUGCUCCCAUCAACACUUUCACAGGGUCUCUCACUCCCACCCCCUUUCACCUACUCAAGGACAAGGAUGUGUCUCCAGAAAUUCCCUCUAUUUACUGAACCAUUCUCUUCAGCCCACAGUCAUGACAUUAUUUUUCACAUCUUAAAAAAAGUCUCUUUUGGGAUGCCUGGGUGGCUCAGUCGGUUAAGCGUCUGCCUUCGGCUCAGGUCAUGAUCCCAGGGUCCUGAGAUCCAGUCCCAUAAUGGGCUCCCUGCUCAGAGGGGAGCCUGCUUCUCCCUCUGCCUGCCACUCCCCCUGCUUGUGCUCUCUCUGUCACAUAAAUAAACAAAAUCUUAAAAAGAAAAAACCACUCUUUUGUCCCACUUUCCUCUUAAGUUAUUGUCCUUUUGCGCUGCUCUGCUCUGCAGCGAUCCCCCUCGAAGGAGUUGUGUAUACUUGUUUUACCAUUUCCAAUUCCUCGACUUGCAUUAUCUCUUGACUCAAUCCAUUCAGGCUUUCACCCCCACCAACUCCAGUGCAACUGCUCUUGUCAAAGUCAGCCAUGACUUUCAUUUUUGCUAAGCCUAAUGAUCAGCCCUGGGUUUUAUCUUGCCUGAUCUAUCAGCAGCAUUUGACACAACAAUCACCCCUUCUUCCCAGAAACAUUCAGUUCACCUGGCAUCCAGGACACCAGUCUCCUUCCUGUGUUAUUCCUGCCUCACAGCUUUCCAUGUCUAACAUGGCCCUCCUGAUCUUUCCACAUUCCCCCAGCUGUUUCACUUGGGAGUCUUCACCAUUUCAGUGAAUGAUAACCUUCUUUCCAGUUGCUCAGACCAAAAAUCUAGUAGUCAUAUUUGAUUCAUCUCAUUUUCCCAUACUCUGCUUAUAACCAGACAGUAAACCUAUUGGCUCUCUCUUCAAAAUGGAUGUGAGUAUUUAUCACAUCUUACCGUCACUGCUCCCAUUCUUGUGCAAGCCACAACGUAUCUCAAGUGGAUUAAUAAAAUAAUCUUUUCACUGUUCUUCCUGCUUCCACCCUUGCUCCUUUUGUUCUUCACCCUGCAGUCAGAGUGAUCCUUUUAAGUCUGAUUACUUGUUGGGUCUUUGCUCAAAACGUUCCAACAGAGUCCUGUCUCAGAGUCCAACUCAGUGUCCUCCUGUAUGAUAUGCCCCCUCUCCAUCCUCAUCCUUUACACCUUCUUCUUGCUCACUCUGCUUCAGUCACAGCAGCCUGCUUACUGUGCCUGGAAAAAGGCAGGCAGCCUGAGCCUUUUCAAUAGGUCCCUCCUCUCCUUUUUAUCUUUACUCAAAUAUCACUUUCCCUGCCCACUGUAGUCGUUCCUGUUAAAUCCCUAUCCCAUCCCUUGCUUCAUUUUUCAACAUACUAUUCAUCACCCUCUAAUAUACUAUAUAAUUUUAUGUAUUUUGUCUAUUGUUUCUGUCUACUCCCAUUAGGAUGCAAGCUCCAUGAAGUUAGGGAUUUUUGUUUGUAUUAUUAUUAUUUUUUUUACUGAUGUAGUCUCAGUGCUGGCACAUUGUAGUUGUUCAAUAAAGGUUUGUUGAAUAAACUAAUAAGCUAUGUUUAAUGAACAUACAAAGAGCAAAAGGGAGUAUAAGUCUCUCAAAAUUCCUAA
Molecule: long non-coding RNA, 5400 nt
Organism: Mirounga angustirostris (Northern elephant seal)
Lineage: Eukaryota; Metazoa; Chordata; Mammalia; Carnivora; Phocidae
Exons: 4
Source: RefSeq, a predicted model, not a curated record